GGGUGUUUAGCUCAGCUGGUUCAGAGCAUCUGCCUUACAAGCAGAGGGUCGGGGGUUCGAAUCCCUCAACACCCA
RNAcentral lists this transfer RNA (75 nucleotides) under Muribaculaceae bacterium. RNAcentral describes it as "tRNA-Val". It matches the Rfam family "tRNA". From Rfam's summary of the family: Transfer RNA (tRNA) molecules are approximately 80 nucleotides in length. Lineage: Bacteria; Pseudomonadati; Bacteroidota; Bacteroidia; Bacteroidales; Muribaculaceae. The record is from RNAcentral. RNAcentral also lists the same sequence under 1 other name.